RNAcentral lists this long non-coding RNA (211 nucleotides) under Theobroma cacao (cacao). Its description in RNAcentral is "long non-coding RNA (TCAC_LNC003120)". Lineage: Eukaryota; Viridiplantae; Streptophyta; Magnoliopsida; Malvales; Malvaceae. The record is from RNAcentral.
CAAGCUAUUAUGGGAGCUUUCUCUCUCUUUCUCUCCCUAAACACCUAGCUAUUGAGAGAAAGUAUGAAAGUGGGAUUUUUCAAAGGUUUUAAAGUGAGAGAGUGAAAGAGCACAAGGAUUUCAUGAAAAGGUGCACCGAGGCAUGAAAAUUGGAGCUAGAGAGAGAAAGUUAUGGAAGCUUGAAGAGGACUCCCAUGGAGGAUGAAGAAAC